Molecule: long non-coding RNA, 317 nt
Filed under: Ananas comosus (pineapple)
Lineage: Eukaryota; Viridiplantae; Streptophyta; Magnoliopsida; Poales; Bromeliaceae
Description: long non-coding RNA (ACOM_LNC013427)
Source: RNAcentral
UUGGAUAAGUUCUUUUUGGUCUAAGGUAUUUUUCCACCUCUUUAUAUAUGAUGUUUGAUAAAUUUAGUGGAAAGAUUGUUAGAAGAUUGUAUGUAAGGAGUGAGAAUCUCAGUGUGUACCGUACCGAACUUCUAAAAUUAUGAAGUUUCGGUGGAUGUUGGUUUGGAAAGCCAUUAGAAUGGUUCCGGUGAAAUUCGGAAGCAUUCGGGCGUUUCGGUGCGCGUUGGCGUGAAAACGGAAUUCGAAAGGCUGUGUUGGGCUGUGAACUAAAUCUGGCAUCAGCGUAGAUGAAAUGAUGAUUUAAAUACGCUCGAAAA